Oncorhynchus tshawytscha (Chinook salmon) is the source of this 1900-nucleotide long non-coding RNA. The record is from Ensembl. Lineage: Eukaryota; Metazoa; Chordata; Actinopteri; Salmoniformes; Salmonidae.
AAGACAUCAAAACUAUGAAAUAACACAUGGAAUCAUGUAGUAACCAAAAAAGUGUUAAACAAAUCUUGAGUUUUGAGAUUCGUCAAAGUAGCCACCCUUUGCCUUGAUGACCGCUUUGCACACUCUUGGCAUUCUCUCUUCAUGAGGUAGUCACCUAGCAUGCGUUUUAAUUAACAGGUGUGCCUUGUUAAAAGUUCAUUUGGAAUGUUUGAGCCUAUCAGUUGUGUUGUGACAAGGUUAGGAGUGGUAUACAGAAGAUAGCCCUAUUUGGGAAAAGACAAUGUUCAUAUUAUGGCAAGAACAGCUCAAAUAAGCAAAGAGAAACAACAGUCCAUCAAUAGGUCAGUCAAUGUGGAAAAUGUAAAGAAUAUUGAACGUUUCUUCAAGUGCAGUCACAAUAACCAUCAUGCACUAUGAUGAAACUGGCUCUCAUGAGGACCACCACAGGAAAGGAAGACCCAGAGUCACCUCUGCUGCAGAGAAUAAGUUCAUUAGAGUUUCCAGCCUCAGAAAUUGCAGCCCAAAUAAAUGCUUCACAAAGUUCAAGUAACAGACAUUUCACAACAUCAUCUGUUCAGAGGAGACGAUGUGAAUCAGGCCUUCAUGGUCGAAUUGCUGCAAAGAAAACACUACUAAAGGACAUCAAUAAUAAGAAGAGACUUGCUUGGGGCCAAGAAACACGAGCAAUGGACAAUAAACCGGUGGAAAUCUGUCCUUUGCUCUGAUGAGUCCAAAUUUGAGAUUUUUGGUUCCAACCUCCGUGAAGAGUAGGUGAACGAUUGAUCUCUACCCGUGUGGUUCCCACCGUGAAGCAUUGAGUAGGCAGUGUGAUGGUGUGGGGGUGCUUUGCUCGUGACACUGUCUGUGAUUUAUUUAGAAGGCACACUUAACCAGCAUGGCUACCACAGCAUUCUGCAGCGAUACGCCGUCCCAUCUGGUUUGCACUUAGUCCCACUAUAAUUUGUUUUUCAUCAGGACAAUGACCCAACACACCUCCAGGCUGUGCAAGGGAUAUUUGAGCAAGAAGGAGAGUGAUGGAGUGCUGCACCAGAUGACCUGGCCCCCACAAUCACCCGACCUCAACCAAAUUGAGAUGGUUUGGGAUGAGUUGGACCGCAAAGUGAAGUAAAAGCAGCCAACAAGUGCUCAGCAUGUGUGGGAAACGGUGGUAUGACCGAAAGAGAGGAGAGAGCAUAUCCUACCAAAGAGGGAGUCCAGUCCACACCAUGAGGAGUGGGAUGAGCGAAAACAUCCCGAGGUGUUGUUGGAAGCAGUAACUAACCACACAUAGUUCUAUCAAUGAAGACAAAAGGAGAGAGAUUGAGCGGGAAAGCAGGAAACUAUACUGUAUUAAUGAAUGUGGUGUUUUAAAGGGGGGAAACAACUGCUUGUUAGGCAGGCUUCAUGAUCUGAUUGUAUUAGUGUAUCGAGCUCUGUUGUUCACGUGUAGACUGCAUUUAUACAAGCAGCCCAAUUCUGAUCUUUUGCCCAAUUGUUGGCAAAAGCUCUGAUCUGAUUGGUCAAAAGGCCAAUUAUUGGCAAACGAUCAGAAUUGGGCUGCCUGUGUAAACGCAGCAAUACAGUAUAGGCUUACGCCACAGGAGGUCGUGGCACUUUAAUUGGGGAGGACGGGCUCGUGGUAACGGCUAGAAUGAGUGGAAUGGUAUCAGAUAUAUCAAACACAUGUUCUCCAUGGUUUCGAUGUGUUUGAUACGUUCCAUUCGCUCCGUUCCAGCCAUUAUUUUGAGCCGUCCUCUGAGCAGCCUCCACUGGCUUACAUUCAGCAGUUUGGCUUCAGGGCCUUUUACAUGAUUUACGUGAUAUUUGUAUAUUUAUGUUUAUAUUUACAUGAUAUUUGUAUAUUUAUGUUUAUAUUUACAUGAUAUUUGUAUAUUUAUGU